RNAcentral lists this ribosomal RNA (88 nucleotides) under Klebsiella pneumoniae. Lineage: Bacteria; Pseudomonadati; Pseudomonadota; Gammaproteobacteria; Enterobacterales; Enterobacteriaceae. The record is from RNAcentral.
UGAUCCCAUGCCGAACUCAGAAGUGAAACGCCGUAGCGCCGAUGGUAGUGUGGGGUCUCCCCAUGUGAGAGUAGGGAACUGCCAGGCA